This 263-nucleotide ribosomal RNA is filed under the name uncultured bacterium. RNAcentral's name for it is "partial 16S ribosomal RNA". It matches the Rfam family "Bacterial small subunit ribosomal RNA", at positions 524 to 787 of the family's 1533-position model. The record is from RNAcentral.
CACGUAGGGGACGAGCGUUGUCCGGAAUUACUGGGCGUAAAGGGCGCGUAGGCGGUGCUUCAAGUCAGCUGUGAAAUAUCUGGGCUCAACCCGGGUAUGCGGUUGAAACUGGGGUGCUGGAGUACUGUAGAGGCAAGUGGAAUUCCCAGUGUAGCGGUGAAAUGCGUAGAUAUUGGGAGGAACACCGGUGGCGAAGGCGACUUGCUGGGCAGUAACUGACGCUGAGGCGCGAAGGCCAGGGGAGCAAACGGGAUUAGAUACCC